AAUUAUUGGUGAGAAAAAAAAUAGUUAGGAAUUUGAAUUCGAAUCUGACUAACAAUCACAAAACUUAUUUCCGAACUCGACAGAUUUCAAAAAUCUAUAUCCAAAUUCAAAACUGACCAAUUUUCCGAAACCCAAAACCAAACAUAAACCAGAAGACUAGAAUUCAAACAAUUAUUUCUAUUUACCAUAUUUCAAAGUAUUUAUAUGAAACUUAAAUUUUUAAAAUAUAAAUUUGAAUAUAAUAUUAAAUUUUAAAUUUAAAAGUGAAAUUUAAAUUAGAGGAAUUUCAUAUUACUAUUUAAAGUUUAAAUUUAAUGAUUAUAUUGUUAAAUUAUUUGAAAAUUUUCUUAUAUGAAAUGCCAAAUUAUGAAAGGAAAGAUAGAGAGAGUAAAAGGAAACAAAGAAAAAAUAAAAAUUUUAAAAAUAUAGUAAAUAUAAAAUGACUAAAUUGCCCAUGUAUUAAAAGACAAAAAUAUUCUUUUUUGAGGUACCUGGUAACCGGUACCUCUCCUAAAGUGACCUGCUAUUGCAGGUCACAAUUUAAAAAAAACUAAAUCCGAGCCGUUGAAUACACGUGAAUGAACGGUAACAAAAAAAAAAAAGUAUAGAAGCAUUACUCAAUUAUAAUUACGUCAAAUCAAAUGACCCCUAAUAUGCUAUGAAAUCAAAGUUUUUUGUAACUAUGUUUUGUUGGCUUAAAGAGCCAGCAUCCUAUCCUGUGGUGAAGAUCAAGGUGGGUCGAGUCAUAAUUAAAGUCUGUGAGCUGUGUGGUGGAGGCCGGGGCGAGCCAAGUCACAAUCGAGACUUGCUUUGUAUCUAUAUGUUUUAAGUGAAUGAAUUAUAUAUUUCUAACAACUCGAACUUUUGAAAUUAACGGUUAGCACCAACGAUCCUACAUAGUUCACUUAAAUUUAUAGAUGUAAAUGUUAUAUGAUU
This 936-nucleotide long non-coding RNA is filed under the name Ananas comosus (pineapple). RNAcentral's name for it is "long non-coding RNA (ACOM_LNC033896)". Lineage: Eukaryota; Viridiplantae; Streptophyta; Magnoliopsida; Poales; Bromeliaceae. The record is from RNAcentral.